This 408-nucleotide ribosomal RNA is filed under the name uncultured bacterium. RNAcentral's name for it is "partial 16S ribosomal RNA". It matches the Rfam family "Bacterial small subunit ribosomal RNA", at positions 28 to 526 of the family's 1533-position model. The record is from RNAcentral.
GACGAACGCUGGCGGCGUGCUUAACACAUGCAAGUCGAACGACGUGGCGAACGUGAGAGUAACGCGUAAUCAACCUGCCCUUCAGAGGGGGACAACUGUUGGAAACGACUGCUAACACCGCAUACUGAAGGAGGGGAGUGCGUCAGAUUAGGUAGGUGGAGGGGUAACGGCCCACCAAGGCGAUGAUCAGUAGCCGGUCUGAGAGGAUGAACGAGCACAUUGGGACUGAGACACGGCCCAGACUCCUACGGGCGGCAGCAGGGGGGAAUCUUCCGCAAUGGGCGAAAGUCUGACGGAGCAACGCCGCGUGAGUGAUGACGGCCUUCGGGUUGUAAAGCUCUGUUAAUCGGGACGCGGUACCGGAAUAGAAAGCCACGGCUAACUACGUGCCAGCAGCCGCGGUAAUUC